Molecule: long non-coding RNA, 3598 nt
Filed under: Homo sapiens (human)
Lineage: Eukaryota; Metazoa; Chordata; Mammalia; Primates; Hominidae
Description: non-protein coding lnc-PCSK7-1:4
Source: RNAcentral
UGUGCCUUCUCUCCAGUGUUUGUCUGAAGAGACUUCCAAAAGAGGUACCAAAGGAAGCCGAACCCAUCCCCUGGCCUCAGAGGGGUCAGAGGUUGGGAGGGACACGCUGGUCUGAGGAUGGACGCAGGAGCGCACUCCCCCGGCUCCCUCUCUGGUGAGACCCCUCCCCACUGGCACCCCACCCGCGGGAAGCAGAGCCAACACUAUCACACCCCACUGGUCCCAGGCCAGCUGCCCAGCCCGAUGCCCUGCCCUUCCUUUCUCAGGGCUGACAGGCUUUCUGGGCUGGAGUUCCUCAUCUGUGAAGUGGGGGUUAUGUUACCAACCUCAGAGGGCUGUGAAAAUGGGACGGUGUCUGUGAACUCCCUCACAUACUGCCUGGCCCUUAGCAGAGCUCCUCGAAAUGUCAGUUCUUUGCUGCCCGGAGCCAGGCUCCUGGUAAUGACCAGGGAGAGAGCCUGCCCUUGACCAAGGAGUGAAAAACUGACCUCAAAAUGUCAGUUCUUUGCUGCCCACUCCAGCCUCCACCCGCUUCUCACAAUCAUUCCCUGAGCGCGCAGCAGCUCACACGGAACAGAGUUCACACGGACUCAUCGAAGUGCCCGUCAUUGGGCAUCCCUCUCCUCCUUGCGUCUGUUUCCUUAUGUGUAAAGUGGGGGCAGGACCACUUCUGAGGACCCAGUUCUCUGAGCACUGGGGAUGAGGUGGGCUCCUGGCCCAGCCACCCCUCUCCCUGCCAGUGAUGCCAGAGACCCCAAAGGCAGAGUGCUCUGUUCUGCUGUUCAGCUACAAACAGCCAAUCCCUCCCUUCACCCUGUGUGUCCCACCCCCGCUCCCCAACCACCCAAGGACUCCUGCACAAAGAACUGUGGUCCAAACCCCCAAGUCAGCUGGGACCAGGUGAUUUUGGUAGCCCUGCAUCCUGGCUUCCAUCCACCCCAGCCUCUGUCUCAGCCUUUGCACCACCAUCCCAGACAGGCAUCCACCUUCUGUCUCUGGCCCUGCUUCUACCCCCACUCCACCUGCCCUCAUGUCUGCCUUCCCCUUCUGCACCCCUGCUGGGCUCCUGAGGAACAGGAUGGAAGGAGAGUGUGUCCCCUACCCCCAGCUUCCAGUCUCAGGAGGGUCAGAACAGACAAUACAGGUCAAAGCAGCAAGGCUAAGGGUGACAGGUACACAACGCUGCAGCCCCCAGAUCUAGAGACAAGAUUAGGAUUUCGGUCAGAGGGGGAUGAAGCACACACCAUCCCCACUCCCACCCAGCACCACCAUCCUUCCCCUUCCUCCUCCUGGGUCAGGGUCGAAAAGUGGAGAAUCCCCAGAAAUCCUUUAGAGUCCUCUGAUGAAGCCUCCCGAGUCCUGCCUUCGAGCCAGUGGGGAGGGGGAGAGGAGGAUGAUUACAGGGCGGCCCCCCCAGGGGCAUCUCAAGACACUCCCAGGACAGCAUGGACAGGCAUGGACCCUCCUGCCCUGUGGCUCCUGCCAGGACCCCUCCCCUGAGCUGCCCAGUGGGUGAAAGUGGGCAGUGGAGAAAGAAAGUCCAGGGUCAAACGGGAAGGUGGCACCCCCUACCAGCAGAAGCCCAGAAACACGAGCAGAGCCAGGGGCCCCUGCAGGGCUGCUGUGCCCCUUCUCUCUUCCCAAAUAGGAGUGAGCACACCUGGACCUCUGAGAGGGCAGGAGGGUGGCUCCUCUCCACUCCACGGACAAACAGGAGUGGCCUGGCUACAUAAAUGUGUGCCAUCCUCACUGCUACCUUUGGAAUAGCAACUUCGAAAGGGAACCACCCUUUGGGAAAGACCAAGGGUCCCAGGCCUGCCCCGCCUAUCACUCCAAAGCUCCUCCUUGGCAGUACCCGCCCCCCACCCCUCUGCUACAGUGGGGGUGACCUCCCACUGUCAGACAGUGGAAGGGGCUGCUUGUCAGAAGGACAGGCCUUCCGUCUCCACUCUUUGCCCCUGACUGGAAUACAAGAGUUCUGUGGCCCUUCACAUUGUCACAGGGCUAUCGCUGCUGCUCAGGCCCUGGGGACCCGCCAGAGUGGGACACCGUGCUCCAACACAGGUAUGUGUGUGCAUGACUAACACAGAACUUGCCUGAAGACUGGACGGAAACUUAGAAGCCAGCCCUGGGUCCUAGAGCGAGGCUAGGACUGGGCACGUAGAGGGAAACAGCACAUCCCUUCCUGAAGCCCCUUUCUAAGGUAGGCACUGGGGUGCCCACAGCUGUGGAGGCAGAACGGGCUGAACUCUGUAUCAUCCCUCCUUUGCCCCUGGACAUUCUUGGGCAGUGUCAAUGGCACUGAAAGGCCACCAGCUGGGGUUUGGCAAGACUAAGGGCCUGGAAAGAAGGAAGGGAAGGGGUGAGGCGCUUCUCCCUCCAGUCCUGGUGCUGGCAUCAGUCUGGGAGCUGAUGGGAUGAAGAGGUGACCUCUGAAUUCAGCCUCUUGAAUCAGAAGGCGGUUCUCAAAUUGGGCUGAGCGCAUUGCUAAAGAGCCAGCCCUGAGCACAGGUCAGAGGGAAGAGAAUACGCACUGCCCCAGGCCCCUUGCAGGCCUUAGCACCAAAAGUCUGGCACCAGCUGGCCAACCCCCAAAAUCUCAUACCCCCAUCCAUCCUGGCUGACUGGAAUGGGCAGUGAUGGCAGCCAGGGACAGCCCAAAGAGAACUGGGGCCCUGAUACAGGACAGAGAUUCAGGCCCCAGACUAGGCCCUGGAGUGGGAGUAUGGGAGGAAAAAGAGGCCUUAGGUCCCAGGCUGGGGCAUUGUGGGGAGGAGGACGGGCAAAAUGCAAGGCAUGAAAUGGGGAGGGUGUCCCUUCCAUCCUUCCUCUUGCAAAGGGACAAAUGGAGAGCCAAAGGACAGGGGCCCAUGGAAGGCCCCAACACUGAGAAGAAAGCAGCAAUUUGGCCAACAUCUGGGGGUUCCAGGGGAGCAGGCCUGCUCCUCGGCAGAGGGCAGCUGCAAGGUUCCAUGCCACCCCAUGGCUGUCCCAGGCCAAGCCUAAGCUAGACCUGGCUGUCCUGCUGCCAUCCAGUGCUGGGCAGCGGUGCUGGGACUCAUCCCCACAGCACGACAGAGUGACCGGUCUAUGACACAAAGGAGCUCAGGGCCCCUUGAGGUGAAGCGAAGGGCCCAGCUCCUGCUAGAAGACAUAGAUCUUGUCCCGCUGCACAGUAUCCAGGUCGUCAUCCAGUGUCAGCAACACCUGGGGUGUGGACGCCAGAUCAGCCACAGAGAAGGAGGCAGCUGCUACCUUCACGUACCCACCCGGCUCGGCCGGGAGGCCCGCUUACCAGGAAGGACCCGAACAUGGCGAUGGAGGAGAGGAAGUGCCAGAUGUCGUGGUCGUCAAAGAAGUCGAGGAGGAUGCAGUCCCGGUUGUGCUCCCUCGACUCUGCAGGGGUUUUCUUGGGGAGCAACAAGAAAAACUGCCGAAUGACCCUGCUCUGGCAGGGCAAGGGCCAGACCCAUCUGCCAUCUUGCUCCUGGGCACCCCUCUCUCCAGCCCCAGGCAGGACAGCAGCAAUUCUGACCUGUCCCUUGUCCUUGUCCCUACCCCUUCCCGAUCUAACAAAUGGCCUUUGGUUACAAACUUC